This 447-nucleotide non-coding RNA is filed under the name Homo sapiens (human). The record is from RNAcentral. Lineage: Eukaryota; Metazoa; Chordata; Mammalia; Primates; Hominidae.
ACAACUGCAGCGAGAGAAGAGGCUGGCAGCAUGGGUGGCAGGANGCUUGGCAGCCUCACAGGAUGCCUGCAAAUACCUUUCACUUAUGCAGUUUGGCAGUGCAGUGGUGCAUGGAGACAGCGUCUUGGGCCUGGCACCCACAGCCACUUAGGAAGUUGGAGUCCUGGAGAGGAGAACACAGAACGUGGACAACUAGCUGUCAAAUUGCAGUAAAAGUUGGUUCAGGAAAAGUGGAAGCUACCCAGAUGUCUACCAAUUGAGAUGAACCAUCCAAUCUCCUGCCUCGAGUAUUGAAGCCUGGCUACUGUGACUGUGGGGAAGGGAUUAAUGGUCUCAGCAUUCAGUCACAUUUCAAAGGCCAGAUCUUUCCCAGGGCUUAAGCUGUUCCUUGGAUACUUUUGCUGAUGGUUUACACAUCUUCUUCCCACAUUAUAUUGUAACUUUCUU